This 253-nucleotide ribosomal RNA is filed under the name uncultured bacterium. Its description in RNAcentral is "partial 16S ribosomal RNA". It matches the Rfam family "Bacterial small subunit ribosomal RNA", at positions 1249 to 1500 of the family's 1533-position model. The record is from RNAcentral.
GCAAGACCGUGAGGUGGAGCAAAACUCAAAAACUUGUCUCAGUUCGGAUUGUAGGCUGAAACUCGCCUACAUGAAGCUGGAGUUGCUAGUAAUCGCGAAUCAGCAUGUCGCGGUGAAUACGUUCCCGGGCCUUGUACACACCGCCCGUCACACCAUGAGAGUUGGCAAUACCCAACGUACGUGAUCUAACCCGCAAGGGAGGAAGCGUCCUAAGGUAGGGUCAGCGAUUGGGGUGAAGUCGUAACAAGGUACC